GUAGUCCACGCCCUAAACGAUGUCUACUUGCUGUUGGGGGUGAAACUUCAGUAGCGAAGCUAACGCGAGAAGUAGACCGCCUGGGGAGUACGGUCGCAAGAUUAAAACUCAAAGGAAUUGACGGGGACCCGCACAAGCGGUGGAUGAUGCGGAUUAAUUCGAUGCAACGCGAAAAACCUUACCUGCUCUUGACAUGCCAAGAAAUCUGUAGAGAUAUGGAAGUGCCUUCGGGAACUUGGACACAGGUGCUGCAUGGCUGUCGUCAGCUCGUGUCGUGAGAUGUUGUCUUAAGUGACGCAACGAGCGCAACCCUUGUCAUUAGUUGCCAUCCUUAAGUUGGGCACUCUAAUGAUACUGCCGGUGCUAAACCGGA
Molecule: ribosomal RNA, 373 nt
Filed under: uncultured bacterium
Lineage: Bacteria
Description: bacterial SSU rRNA
Rfam family: Bacterial small subunit ribosomal RNA
Source: RNAcentral